RNAcentral lists this ribosomal RNA (477 nucleotides) under uncultured Pseudoalteromonas sp. Its description in RNAcentral is "bacterial SSU rRNA". It matches the Rfam family "Bacterial small subunit ribosomal RNA", at positions 60 to 526 of the family's 1533-position model. The record is from RNAcentral. Lineage: Bacteria; Pseudomonadati; Pseudomonadota; Gammaproteobacteria; Alteromonadales; Pseudoalteromonadaceae.
AGUCGAGCGGUAACAGAGAGUAGCUUGCUACUCUGCUGACGAGCGGCGGACGGGUGAGUAAUGCUUGGGAAUGUACCUUAUGGUGGGGGACAACAGUUGGAAACGACUGCUAAUACCGCAUAAUGUCUUCGGACCAAAGCGGGGGACCUUCGGGCCUCGUGCCAUAAGAUCAGCCCAAGUGGGAUUAGCUAGUUGGUGAGGUAAUGGCUCACCAAGGCGACGAUCCCUAGCUGGUUUGAGAGAAUGAUCAGCCACACUGGGACUGAGACACGGCCCAGACUCCUACGGGAGGCAGCAGUGGGGAAUAUUGCACAAUGGACGCAAGCCUGAUGCAGCCAUGCCGCGUGUGUGAAGAAGGCCUUCGGGUUGUAAAGCACUUUCAGUAAGGAGGAAAGGUUGGAUGUUAAUAGCAUUCAGCUGUGACGUUACUUACAGAAGAAGCACCGGCUAACUCCGUGCCAGCAGCCGCGGUAAUAC